Daphnia pulex (common water flea) is the source of this 930-nucleotide long non-coding RNA. RefSeq lists it as uncharacterized. The record is from RefSeq and is a predicted model, not a curated record. Lineage: Eukaryota; Metazoa; Arthropoda; Branchiopoda; Diplostraca; Daphniidae. The transcript is spliced from 4 exons.
GCCCAAACACUUGUUGACGAGCUGUUGUCACUUUGUCUGCUAGAUGGCGCGAGUGUCUUCGUUACUCAAGACGAAAUUCCGCCAUUUCUUAAAACACUGAUUGGAAGCCACAUGUUGAAAACGUAUCGUUGGAUUGGAUACUUAAUACGGCGUACUUUUCUUUCUUGAAAUUUUUAUUCGUAAUAAUGGUAUUUAUCUGGUAUCAGCCAAUAAUUUCUACAUGGCAAUUUCAUCUGAUCAUGUGGCCUGAACAGCUGAACAUUUUGCCAAAAUGUCUCUUUUUCCUGUACCAGCUUCACGUUUGUCAGAAACACUUCAGAACAAUUCAGGAUUAACACCCUGGUGGAGUUUGAGCUUCUUUGUUGCUGCCCAACUUACACAUGGAUUUGACGCAGCCAGCUGAGGGCUGUAAUUCUUGUUGAUCAUGUAUGUUCGAGUAGUUGCUGUCCGAUGUGGCACGUUGUUGGCAGUUGUUGAUGUGGCAGCCUAUGCUGGUGAAAGAUAUUUCUCAUCAAGUUCAAUUGGCCGUUCCUUGGUGCUGAUGUUGUUUUACCGAAGUUCCAUCAUAUUUUGUUAAAUUGUCAUCGCGACUAUUGCAGUUUACCGUUUAUAAGUUCAGAAGCAACAACAAAAAUUUGGGAUGUUUAUGUCAACAAAUAAUAAACAUGUUUCCGGGAUUGGGAAAGGAAAGUGGAGGAUGUCGGAGGGGGGAGGGAGGAUAUUUCAAGUUUGGAUAAAAAUUCAGUUAAUCUAUUACCAUACAAAUGUUGCCCUACCAAUUAAUCUCCAAACCCCACAAACAUAUACCUUCCAAUCCUUCAAACCCCGAAAACAUACACCUACUAACCCCUAAAUUUAUACCCUCAACCCUAAAAACCAAUUACCUUAACCAUGUGUAAUAAAUCAAAAUAAAUACGUUGUAUGAACCAA